RNAcentral lists this unclassified non-coding RNA (265 nucleotides) under air metagenome. Its description in RNAcentral is "partial contains small subunit ribosomal RNA, internal transcribed spacer 1, and 5.8S ribosomal RNA". The stretch from base 1 to 46 matches the Rfam family "Eukaryotic small subunit ribosomal RNA", at positions 1786 to 1831 of the family's 1831-position model. The record is from RNAcentral.
AAGUCGUAACAAGGUUUCCGUAGGUGAACCUGCGGAAGGAUCAUUACAUUUAGUAGCUUGCUACUGCUAAGAGGGUCUGUUAGGCUGUAUAGUAUUGCUACUGACGAGCAGCAUGAUCCUCUAAGUCAACCCUUGUCUUUUGCGUACCUACGUUUCCUCAGCGGGUAUAACCCGCUGGCUGGACAAAAUUACAACCCUUGAAUAUUCAAUCAGUGUCUGAGAAACUUAAUAAUUACAACUUUCAACAACGGAUCUCUUGGUUCUG